This 471-nucleotide ribosomal RNA is filed under the name Triticum aestivum (bread wheat). RNAcentral's name for it is "partial small subunit ribosomal RNA". The record is from RNAcentral. Lineage: Eukaryota; Viridiplantae; Streptophyta; Magnoliopsida; Poales; Poaceae.
AUGUCUUCUUCAAGCUCCCGCGCCACCUCAUGGAUGUAGAGCCCGGCGCGCGUGGAGAUGCCUAUCUUCGUCUGUCCGUGGUGCUGGGCCGGCGUUGACCCCAGUGUUUCUCACACACCGAGGAACCAGAAUCGUCCGUUCUACGUAUGCAGCGAGAAUGGGGUGAAAUGUUUCUUUCUUUGGGUCGAUGUUCUGGCCAAGACUCUGAUGAAUGAACUGCAAGAGCAUGAAGAAUGGUUGUGCAUGCUGCCACGAACGGCAGUGGCCGCAGCAUGAGCUCCGGAAGAAGAGAUGGAGGGCGAAGUACGCACUGACAGAGAGCUAGCCAAUGAGCUUAGGAUGUUGAAGAAGAAGGUUAGGAAGCUUGAAGAUCAAGCACAAAUACCAAUACCCAUUUGCAAUUACUUUUGGGCAUUUGUAGGUAUGGUAAUCGCACUGGGUGUAAUGUUGAAAUUGUAUGGAAAGGCAUGA